Molecule: ribosomal RNA, 497 nt
Filed under: uncultured bacterium
Lineage: Bacteria
Description: partial 16S ribosomal RNA
Rfam family: Bacterial small subunit ribosomal RNA
Source: RNAcentral
GAUGAACGCUGGCGGCGUGCCUAAUACAUGCAAGUCGAGCGAACAGACGAGGAGCUUGCUCCUCUGACGUUAGCGGCGGACGGGUGAGUAACACGUGGAUAACCUACCUAUAAGACUGGGAUAACUUCGGGAAACCGGAGCUAAUACCGGAUAAUAUAUUGAACCGCAUGGUUCAAUAGUGAAAGACGGUUUUGCUGUCACUUAUAGAUGGAUCCGCGCCGCAUUAGCUAGUUGGUAAGGUAACGGCUUACCAAGGCAACGAUGCGUAGCCGACCUGAGAGCGUGAUCGGCCACACUGGAACUGAGACACGGUCCAGACUCCUACGGGAGGCAGCAGUAGGGAAUCUUCCGCAAUGGGCGAAAGCCUGACGGAGCAACGCCGCGUGAGUGAUGAAGGUCUUCGGAUCGUAAAACUCUGUUAUUAGGGAAGAACAAAUGUGUAAGUAACUAUGCACGUCUUGACGGUACCUGAUCAGAAAGCCACGGCUAACUACGUG